GCUGCAUCAGCUCUGGAUCCGACUGUUCAUCGCCCACCAUAGUGGGGCCCACCUCCUGCAAGCCUGUGAUCUUACUGCGUCCCCGCGCGCGUGUUGCCCCCGCGCCCGCUUCUUGAACACUUCAGGCCAGGUUCCAAAGUCCCCUGCCAGGCAGAGCCCAGAGCAAACGGCGUCCUCACGGAGGCCUCUCCAGGCCCCAGCCCACCCCUCUCAGAGACGCCUCGACAGCUUCAACGGGGCCCCACUUCCCCUCGCCAAGACAUGCGCUCCAGAGAUUCCUUAAGCGCUGAGGAGGCCGGGGCACGAGGCUCGGAGCUAGCCCUGAAGGCGACAACUAAAAUACCACCCAGGGCGCACUGUGCAUUCCCCCUCCCAGACUCUAAUUCCAGCACAGAGGCGGAUCCUUGCAUUUCUGUGGACCCGCAGGAAAGUCUGUAAAGGAACCGCGCGCUUGGCUGGGUGCCAGGUCUGGAGUGACUGAAUGGAUGGAACCUGGCCUUCCCUCCCCUGAGCUUCCCGCGCAGCUGGACAGACGCGGCGCACGCGCAGGAGGUCACUGGGCAACACCUGGGGCAAAUGAAACAACUUCCCCCGCACCAGCCACCAAUGAGCGGCUGCGAGUUCCCAACCGUGUGUCCACGCCCCUCAUCCGCAGUUAUCAAAAUCUGACAACUCAUCCUUCUUUAUCUGCCUUGUUGUGAUUGGUUUUCUUUUUUCUUUUCUUUUUUUUUUUUUUUUUUGGACAUGGAGUUUCGCUCUUAUUGUCCAGGCCGGAGCGCAAUGGCGCGAUCUCCGCUCACCGCAAUCUCCGCCUCCCAGGUUCAAGCGAUUAUCCUGCCUCAGCCUCCUGAGUAGCUGGGAUUACAGGCCUGCGCCACGACGCCCGGCUAAUUUUGUAUUUUUAGUAGAGACGGCGUUUCUCCAUUUUGGUCAGGCUGGUGGCGAACUCCCGACCUCAGGUGAUCCACCCGCCUUGGCCUCCCAAAGAGCUGGGAUUACAGGCGUGAGCCACCGCAUCCGGCCUGUGAUUGGUUUUCUAGAAAAUAAAGCAAAACAAAAACAGCCUGUAGGUAGCCUUCCCUCCCAUGGGAGGGUAAUAAUCUUCACUUUUUAAGAGGGGCCUUUAUAGGGGAUGCUGCCGUUCCAACACUUUGACAGACGUGGAGAGAGCUAUAAGGGAAGCAGGAAGUUGUAAUCCUAAACGUUCCUUAACUGGUCUAAUUUAUUAUUCUGUAGUUCCUACCCCUGCCCUCUUACCCACUGACCUAACAAGUUAGCCAGAGAGAUAAAACACAUUCAUGCUUAACAAAGGAUGUGUUAAAACUGACGAAAGGGCCGGGCGCGGUGGCUCACGCUGCUAAUCCCAGAACUUUGGGAGGCCGAGGCGGGCGGAUCACGAGGUCAGGAAAUCGAGACCAUCCUGGCUUAACACAGUGAAACCCCGUCUCUACUAAAAGUACAAAAAAUUAGCCGGGCGUGGUGGGGGCCGCCUGUAGUUCCAGCUACUCGGGAGGCUGAGGCAGGAGAAUGGCGUGAACCUGGGAGGCGGAGCUUGCAGUGAGCCGAGAUUGGUUGGGCCACUGCACUCCAGCCUGGGGCAGAGCAAUACUUCGUCUCAAAAAAAAAAAAAAAAAAAAAAACUAACAAAAGAUUGAUGCCCAGGAGCUCCUACAACUCAGUGAGAAAAAGAUGAACAAUGGAAAAAACAGGGGUAACUGACUUGAAUAGGCCCUUCACAAAAGAGGAAAUAGAAAUGACCAAUAAACAUAUAACAUGAUGCCUAGUAUAUCAUUAGAAAUACAGGAAAUACAAAUUAAAGUCAAUUUUACUUUUUUUCAUUUUAACCAAAUUUAUUUAAACCCCAAGACUUUGUAGACACAGUGGCUCACGCCUGUAAUCUAAGCACUUUGGGAGGCCAAGGUGGGAGGAUCGCUUGAGCCCAGAAGGUUGAGGCUGCAGUGAGCCAUGAUUUGGUUUAUUUUUAAGUAAUUUAUCCCUACUUAAAGACAGAUUACCCUACAUGUGAAAGCUAUGUACAAAAAUCAUCCACUGAUUAGAAGGAUUUUUUUAAGUUAUACAAUUGUCC
This 2086-nucleotide long non-coding RNA is filed under the name Homo sapiens (human). Its description in RNAcentral is "HSALNT0219082". Lineage: Eukaryota; Metazoa; Chordata; Mammalia; Primates; Hominidae. The record is from RNAcentral.